CCCAAUAAAAGAUGGGCUUCUCUUGAGCUCUUGAUGAUAAAAGUUUUCAAAACACCCUAAUUUGAGGUUAGGGUUUUAGAUCUGUCUCUAAUAGCGCGCACACCCGAGAGAAGUAGAAGCGUCUUCGAUUGCAAGGGCGAAGAUGUUUCCCGGAAUGUUCAUGAGGAAGCCGGAUAAGGCGGAGGCGUUGAAGCAGCUCAAGACCCACGCGGCAAUGUUCGGAGUUUGGGUUGCUGUCAUUCGGGUCACACCUUACGUUCUCCAUUAUUUCUCCGAUAGCAAAGAAGAACUCAAGCUCGAACUCUAAUUUCCUUCACAGGUAAAAUUACAUAUUCGUUUCCUAGUGUGUGAUCAGACGUGCUUGAAUAAGGGGAUGCAGAUGACUCAUUUAUUUGUAAACCAAUCUAAUUUAUAGUUAGUUUCGAAGGAAAUGCAAAAUGGGGGAAGGAACUGAGCCAAGAGUUAUGUUUACUUUGAAUUUUUUUUUUUCAUCAUCUUAAUUUUUCCUCUUCUGCUGUAUCUUUCCAGCCUGCAAACCCGAGGUAGCUCAAUUAUUCGAACUAAAAAUCUAGUUUGGGUUACUGCUUUUGAUCUUUAGAUUUUAUGAGAGUGUUGAUAUGAAGCUUGUAUUCAAAAGGUGUGUGUGGCUAAGUACAUAUGUUUGUCUUCGUUAUGAUUUUCCUA
RNA transcript from Olea europaea var. sylvestris, 684 nucleotides. It is a transcript of the gene named mitochondrial import receptor subunit TOM6 homolog, with no coding region annotated. The transcript has 3 exons. NCBI's taxonomy places the organism in Eukaryota, Viridiplantae, Streptophyta, Magnoliopsida, Lamiales, Oleaceae. The record is from RefSeq and is a predicted model, not a curated record.